This 483-nucleotide ribosomal RNA is filed under the name uncultured bacterium. RNAcentral's name for it is "bacterial SSU rRNA". It matches the Rfam family "Bacterial small subunit ribosomal RNA", at positions 28 to 524 of the family's 1533-position model. The record is from RNAcentral.
GACGAACGCUGGCGGCGUGCUUAACACAUGCAAGUCGAACGGUGAACCAGAGCUUGCUCUGGGGAUCAGUGGCGAACGGGUGAGUAACACGUGGGCAACCUGCCCCAGACUCUGGGAUAACCUCGGGAAACCGAUGCUAAUACCGGAUACGACCACUUCGGACAUCCGACGGUGGUGGAAAGUUUUUCGGUCUGGGAUGGGCCCGCGGCCUAUCAGCUAGUUGGUGGGGUAAUGGCCUACCAAGGCGACGACGGGUAGCCGGCCUGAGAGGGCGACCGGCCACACUGGAACUGAGACACGGUCCAGACUCCUACGGGAGGCAGCAGUGGGGAAUAUUGCACAAUGGGCGAAAGCCUGAUGCAGCGACGCCGCGUGAGGGACGACGGCCUUCGGGUUGUAAACCGUCUUUCAGCAGGACGAAGCGAAAGUGACUGUACCUGCAGAAGAAGCACCGGCUAACUACGUGCCAGCAGCCGCGGUAAU